GACGAACGCUGGCGGCGUGGAUUAGGCAUGCAAGUCGAACGGUAGAGAACUUUCGGGUUCUUGAGAGUGGCGAACGGGUGAGUAACACGUAGGUUAUCUACCCUCAAAUUGGGGACAACCCAGGGAAACUUGGGCUAAUACCGAAUGAGUGCGGUUUUCGGACUGCAUAAAAGGUGGCAGUAAUGCUGUUGUUUGAGGAUGAGCCUGCGCUCUAUUAGUUAGUUGGUGAGGUAACGGCUCACCAAGGCGAUGAUAGAUAGGCGGCCUUAACGGGUGGUCGCCCACACUGGGAUUGAGAUACGGCCCAGACUCCUACGGGUGGCAG
RNAcentral lists this ribosomal RNA (325 nucleotides) under uncultured Spirochaetota bacterium. RNAcentral describes it as "bacterial SSU rRNA". It matches the Rfam family "Bacterial small subunit ribosomal RNA", at positions 28 to 351 of the family's 1533-position model. Lineage: Bacteria; Pseudomonadati; Spirochaetota. The record is from RNAcentral.